RNAcentral lists this unclassified non-coding RNA (353 nucleotides) under Zea mays. RNAcentral describes it as "misc RNA Zm00001eb080040". Lineage: Eukaryota; Viridiplantae; Streptophyta; Magnoliopsida; Poales; Poaceae. The record is from RNAcentral.
UUUGGGCUCUAGGCUCGGUGAUUGGAGCGACCUUGGAUGUGGAUAUGUAUACAUAUAGAAAAAUGGGAGUGAUUAGAGUGCUUGUUGGAAUGAUGAACAGAGAUCCUCUCCCCCUUACCACUGACAUUGUCUUUGGCACUAAAGGAUAUGAGAUCACUUUUGUUUUGGAAGAUGAGAAAUUCACCCCUGCAGACCCUGUGGUGUUCACAGAUGUCCCACGAUGGGAUGGCGAUGGUGGCGGGGAUAUUGGAGAUGACCAAGAUGACAAAAACCCAGGUCAUGCAAAGAAGAAACAAAGAAAUGGAUGGAGUGUUGGUGGGUCUGGUGCUUCAUCGGGUGGGGGAGAUAGUGGG